Molecule: non-coding RNA, 4956 nt
Organism: Microcebus murinus (gray mouse lemur)
Lineage: Eukaryota; Metazoa; Chordata; Mammalia; Primates; Cheirogaleidae
Source: RefSeq, a predicted model, not a curated record
GGGCCAAGCCGGAGGGUUGUAAAUCUGGAUUUUCAUUCAGAGUGAGGGGGCCACGGCGUCUGUGGGCAAAACUGGCCUUGUCUCUCGCCAAGAUAGCCAGGCCCCUGUGUGGAGGGGGCCCGAGUGGGCUGCUGGGGCCGGGGUGAGUCUGCCCGCACAGCCGCUGGUCUCCAGGCCGCAGAGGGACAGGCUCGAUUCCCACCCUGGCGCGUCCUGCGUCGGAAUGGGUCCGACACCCUCCGUGGGCCUCACAGAAGGUCACCCGGGCAAUUUGCCUGUGUCGGGGCUCUCUUCGAGGUUUGAAACGCCUGCGUGGCGAUACCUUCCUUGACAUAGAGAUGCACUUAGUACGCAGCCAAUGGACACUUUGCUGGGGUCAGCCGUGAGGAGGGACCAUCCCGGCCUGUGGGGUCUCAGGGAUGGCGGGAGAGGCCUGGGUCCUGCUCUGCCUCCCUCCUCCCCAAGGCCUCGGCCUCGGAGCCCGCUCCCCUCGGCCCGUCUGUCCGAGCCCCGUGUCUGAGCCCCGGUGAGCGGGGAGCGCUGGCCCUGCCUCCCCCAGCUCGUAACUCCAUAGCGGGCGACUGACGGGUCCCGAGCUCCCCCCAGGACAUCUGUGGGGACCUGAAAGCUCGACCUGCCGACCUCCUCCGCGUCCUUCCUCAAGGUCGGCUCCGAGACAGACCCCAGACCCUGCCUGUGGCCCCCGCCCCCAGAAAGACGCAGGGCACAUCCAACACGGCACGGGGCUGGCCGAGCGUCUGGGGCCGUGGGCGAGGCAGCGCCGCACCCUUCGCCCCGCGGCCUCUCCCUGGCCUUCUCUCGUCCUUGGUCUUCUCAUGAAUCCCGACCUUCAUCCUUCUCUUAUGAGAAAAAAAUAUAUGUACACAUAUCAGCUGUUCUAGCUUCUGUUCCCAGACCUGGCUAGCACACUCUUGUGGUGCCCAGCAGCACAGAAGGCCUUUCUUCCUAUCCGCGCUCCUCAGGGGGCAGCUUUGACUGUGACGAGCAAUUCCUACCGAACGAUGGGCGAGGAACGUCAAAAGUGGGCAGAUGACCAGGCUGCGUGUGCCGUGCUUGCGUGCACGCAUUUGUGUGUGCGUGUAUGCGUGUGCGACGUGUGUUUACACGUGUGUGCAUAAACAGCCAAUGUCCCGAGAAGUGUAAAAGGGACCACAUUUUGAAGCGGAAGUGAGUUUUCAGGCUCUUGAGAGGGUUUCAGAGCGGCGGUAACUCGUGUCGGGGGAGCGGCUGCCGGGUCGGAGAACGGAGGAAGCUUCCGACAAUUCACGUGGAGCAGCUGCCGCCGCCGCCGCCAUCUCUGGCAUGCACGCUGAGCUGGGUGGCCCCUGCAAAACACGCGUGCCACAGGUGGCUCUCCUUGGCGCCCGCCCCUGGGCCCCCAUGUGGUUCAAUGCCUGGGCGUUGGAGUCAGCACUGCCACGUUUUCCUCGUCUGUAAGCCGGGGGUGAUAAAUAUCCACCGAGGAGGUUGUACUCAGCGCUGACCUAGAGCGACAAGGUCUGCACGUUGCUCCGUGCAUGUCUGACUUCGGGCAGCGCUAAGGGAUGUCAACGGCAUGUGGCAGGUAAGUGCACGUGCUCUGGCCUUGGACUGCCUGGCUGUGUGAUCGCGACUAAAAUAAGUAACCUCUCUGUGCCUCGGCCGCUUACCCCAGAGUGAGUGAGUCAGUUUCUCCCUCGCGGUGGGACGUGACCGGUGUCAGGCACCUAGGGUGCGUCCUGCCGCAGGGAGUAAGCGCCGGAGAGAAUUAGUGGAAUGAUGUUAACCCCGGGAGCAAAGUCGGACUUCGCGGAAAACUGACUCGAGGAUGAGUGCCCACAGCUGGAAACCCUCAUUCCACGAUUGUCUUAUUUUCAAUUUGAUGACUUUUGAGCUAUUUUUUUCUGGUCACAAAUAAUUUCUGUGUAUUUUAUUUACAUAGCACUUGUCAGUUUAUUAUGGGGGUGCAGAGACAAGCGAGCUAUUUUAGGUCUAAACAGUAUUUUUGUUCUAAAGCAGUAAAGAGGGGAGGAUGAGCCUACCCCAAAGCCGAAAACCGGCUAGGCCGUGCGGGUUCCGGCUGGCCCUCCCGCCCUCGCCAGCGCGGCGUGGCAGGUGGACCCGGACGCCUUGCGAGUGCGGCUCUGGGCGCAUUUCAAGUACAAACCCGCCUCCCCGCUCAUCGAUCUUGGGAACGGUGUUUGGCCGCCCCCCAGCACAGGGGCCAGAUCCAAGUGCACUCUGUUCCCUGGGGUCGUGCUGUGAGCAAACCAGGCAGGCAGGGCGGGAGGGCGCUCCCCAGGGAGGUGAGGUCACCUGGGCGCAGGUACACCGGCUUCUUGCUUUAAGGGUGAAUGGCCGCAGCUGGCAGCGUCUCGUGACCUGAGGGACGGUGUUAAAGGAGGCCACUUCCAUUCUCGCUUUUGACAAAGGAAUGUACGUUUUGGAAUCUGGUUUCAGAUGCAACGUUAUUUCAGGACCAAAAAUAAAAAGAAAUCUGGGUGCAGACCAGGCCAACCUGGCAAGAGUUUAAAUGGAAUCUGACAUACAGAGUGAAGUUAAAUGUUUUGGGGAAGGCUUUAAGGUAAAGAUAUUUCCCUUUGAUUAUGUAAUUGUUUACCCAACUGCAUGGGGCAUAAAUAUGAGUUGCUGUUCUAUGUCUUGGGGGAGAGAAAUCCAAUUUGAUCUCUUUUCAUGCAGCAUGUUCAUUUUCACAGGAAGAUUCAAUUAUUCCCCCACUUACAAGGCUAUAAAUGAGUUUGCUGGGCCGGUUCCUGACACAGGCUCGCUCAUCAUUAUUCAGAUUAGUUUUCACUUUUCUAAACUGGUCUUCUGCCUACUGCUCCUGGAGCCCGGCCAGCAUUUCGGAAGAGGAUUAAAUAAUCCUUCUCUCACAACUUCCUACAUGUUGUGCUAUUUUGUUCUUCCCCAAAUGUCACCCUCUGCUCACACGCGCGUUUCCUGUGGGUGAGGCUUUCGAAUGUCCCCGCGGCUGGCUUCUCCCUGGACGGUCAGGCCGCAGCGGGUCGGCCCGGCUAGAGGCAGAGGUUUUCCUGAACUCGAGCCCAGGGCCGUUUCCAGCCCCUGCAGGCGGAAGCAGUGUUUACACAGGCGUGGGUGGGCUGUGCUUUGUCAGAGAGUCCAUGGGAGGAAAUCCCCGGGUCAGAGAGACACAAUGAGGACACCUGGAACAGAGCGGGCGGCUUAGGCAGCUAAAGGGAACCUGUUGCAGGUUUGCACAGGGGUGGCUAUUUAGGCUGCUAUCUCCCUCCACUCCGCUAGUAACAAACUCACCCUAAAGUACUUCAGAAGCCUCCAAAGUGCGCGGAGGACUGGGGGUGGAAACGGGAAGGACGGCAUGGACUCUGCACUGGGUGUGGCGCAUGCGUAAGGCAAUUACACCUGCACGGAGAAGUCGGAUAACCUUUCCCAUUCCCCUUCCACCCCAUGAAGUGGAAUCUUCCUAUCUCCACUUUCCCCACCUGGCUCAAGCAAUCCAGGCAAAUUCCAGCCCAUUAGACUCGUAACAGUGUCUCCCGGGACUUGGCUUUUAGCAUCGCUGAGCCAACUAGGCUGCCGGGUGAGCCCCUCCUUGAGCGUGUGAGUGUGGGGGCGUCUUCCCGCUUCUUCCCCUCACUCACAUUUUCCAAAUCCGUCUUCGGGGUACAAAUCCCUGGGUAUCCCCGCUUCUCACUCUGGCCCUGGGCUCGAGCGGCACAUGGUCAUCACCUGGGGAACUCCGAGCUCCUGUCAGAGCCCAGCCUGGCCCCCAGGGAUGCCCAAGGCAGCGGGGUCAGAUGCUUCUCAGGAGGUGCUGGGAUUCAGAACAGGCGAGCCGAUGUGCAGCUCAACCCUUGGCCGCUUUUGUCCUCAGCGUUCAAAGACUCAAAGGAUCCAGAGAAGGGGCCGGGGACUUUUGUGAAUAUGGACAACCAAACAGAUACGUUGCAGGACAGCAGCUGACAUGGCAGAGGCAGGGAGGCUAUCCGGAGGAAAGAAAAGAAGCUCAGAUUUGGGUUUCUUAAGCUGAAGGCACCUGCAAGGCACCACAGAGGAGACGGCAGUGCACACUACAGAGUGGAUCGAUCGCAUUCACACGAUGCUGUGCAGCCGUCACCAUGGUUCCCAGAACCUGUUCGUCACCCCAAACAGACUCGGUGACCUUGGGGCAACAACCCCCGUGUCCUUUCCUCCUGCUCCCCGGUAAGUUCUAAUCUACUUUCUGUCUCUAGGAAUUUUCCUGUUCUAGGUAUUUUACGGAAGCGGGCUCAUCCGAUAUGUGACCUUUUGUGUCUGGCGUCCGUCGCUUGGCAUCACGCUGUCACGGCUGUCCACAGGGUAGCGUGCGUCAGAACGUCAUUGCUCUGCGUGAGUGGACGCUCUCCCAUCGCCGGGGGUGCCGCGGUUCUGUGUCUCCGCUCGCCCGGGGACGGACGCUCGGGCUGUGUCACCGUCGGGCCCUUGUGAAUGAGGCUGCGGCGAACGCUGGCAGGCAGGUGUCUGUCUGAGUCCCUGCUUUCAGCUCUUGUGGGGACAUACCUGGGGCUGCAUGGCUAGGCCUUACGGUAAUUCACGGUGAGCAUUUGGAGAAACCACUCCAAUCUGGAACCGCACAGAGACGGGGAUUCUGGAAAAUGUCAAGCCCAGCCGUGGGUGGGUGUGGCCGCUCCACGCUGACAGCGCAGUCCAGCAGCUCCUGGUCCAUUUGUCCGUGGCAGGUUUGAAAGUGGCCUGGUGAGGAGGCUUCUUCCCAACAAGCCCAGGAGCCUGGCUCCUCUGGGAUCUGGACGGGAGAAUACAAGGAACUGUGAUGGGCCGUCAUAUGGCAGGUAGUCAGAGACCACAGGGGUGCCACUAGGGCUCGCAAGAGUGCGCUUUGCCUUGAUUCUGAGUGGCGCCCCAGUUUUGGUCCCAGUGUCCUUGUAACAAACCAACUUGCCUUAAGGUCUCCUUCUC